This is a non-coding RNA of Camelina sativa (false flax), 190 nucleotides long. Lineage: Eukaryota; Viridiplantae; Streptophyta; Magnoliopsida; Brassicales; Brassicaceae. The record is from RefSeq and is a predicted model, not a curated record.
CUAGAAACAAGGAAAAUGCUACAUCAUUUGCCAACCUUCUCUUUGUGCAGGUUCAAGGACCAAUACUGAGCGGAAGAACUUGUGGCUGUACUUUAGUAUUUUAAGCUUUACAUUAUGGAUUCACUUGACUACUCUCUUCAUAUAUUUUGUUUAUUUUAGUAUGUUAAGCUAUAAAUACUUGAUUCUGUGA